AGAAUCAACGCUGGCGGCGUGCCUAACACAUGCAAGUCGCACGAGAAAGGGGAGCAAUCCCUGAGUAAAGUGGCGCACGGGUGAGUAACACGUGAAUGAUCUACCUCCGAGUGGGGAAUAACUGAGAGAAAUCUUAGCUGAUACCGCAUAACACUUACGAGUCAAAGCAGCAAUGCGCUUGGAGAGGAGUUCGCGGCCGAUUAGCUAGUUGGCGGGGUAAUGGCCCACCAAGGCGAUGAUCGGUA
Molecule: ribosomal RNA, 245 nt
Filed under: uncultured bacterium
Lineage: Bacteria
Description: partial small subunit ribosomal RNA
Rfam family: Bacterial small subunit ribosomal RNA
Source: RNAcentral